RNAcentral lists this non-coding RNA (24 nucleotides) under Gossypium hirsutum (cotton). The record is from RNAcentral. Lineage: Eukaryota; Viridiplantae; Streptophyta; Magnoliopsida; Malvales; Malvaceae.
AGAAAGCUCAAGGAGAAAGGAAAG